RNAcentral lists this ribosomal RNA (497 nucleotides) under uncultured bacterium. Its description in RNAcentral is "partial 16S ribosomal RNA". It matches the Rfam family "Bacterial small subunit ribosomal RNA", at positions 28 to 507 of the family's 1533-position model. The record is from RNAcentral.
GAUGAACGCUGGCGGCGUGCCUAAUACAUGCAAGUCGAGCGAACAGACGAGGAGCUUGCUCCUCUGACGUUAGCGGCGGACGGGUGAGUAACACGUGGAUAACCUACCUAUAAGACUGGGAUAACUUCGGGAAACCGGAGCUAAUACCGGAUAAUAUAUUGAACCGCAUGGUUCAAUAGUGAAAGACGGUUUUGCUGUCACUUAUAGAUGGAUCCGCGCCGCAUUAGCUAGUUGGUAAGGUAACAGCUUACCAAGGCAACGAUGCGUAGCCGACCUGAGAGGGUGAUCGGCCACACUGGAACUGAGACACGGUCCAGACUCCUACGGGAGGCAGCAGUAGGGAAUCUUCCGCAAUGGGCGAAAGCCUGACGGAGCGACGCCGCGUGAGUGAUGAAGGUCUUCGGAUCGUAAAACUCUGUUAUUAGGGAAGAACAAAUGUGUAAGUAACUAUGCACGUCUUGACGGUACCUAAUCAGAAAGCCACGGCUAGCUACGUG